UUUGGGGUGAGGUGGUGGGGCUAAGGGUGCUCCUUUCUCACCUGUUGCUCCACUAGUGUGUGGAGCCUGUAGCUGACAAUGUCUGUCCUGUCCUGUUCAGGUUCAGGAGCCCUGGCUUCACCUCUGAUUACCCUCUUUGACAUCAGAUAAGCCCCUUUCCCUUGCUAGGUCCCAGUUUUCCUAUCUCCAUGAUAAGGUGGCUAGAAUAAAUGAACAGGUUUUCUGUACCUUUAACCCAGAGAACAGGACCAGAGACCUCUCUAGGAAGGAUGAAAUGUAGUCUUCCCUUAAGAACAUGGCAGCUCCAGAUGAAGAUUGCUAGUGGUGAAUGAAGAUGAUGUAAUAUCUUUUCUCACAGGAACCUGGAGUUGAAUUGAAGAGCACUGAAGCCUGUAGAUCUCCUUGGAAGAGUCCUGUUCAGAGUCUGAGGAGUGAUUAAUAUGCAUGGAUUUCUCAUCAAAGAGCAGAUUGUGUCAAAUUCACAGAGCGCUUGACUCUUGCGUGGCUCAGAACUCAUUAUCUUCCAGCAGCAAGUUGAGAGAUUCUUGGACAGACAUCUAAACAAACGCUCAAGUUGCUGCUUUGACCCAGCUAACCUUCCGCAAUAAAGGGUAGUCUUAUUGAAGUCAACUCAAUCCCAGUGGGCCUUAUAUUUAUGACAUUCCAGACUGAAGAUAACAUGUGGAAAGCAGCCACAAAGUAAAAAGAAACAAAGAAUUCUGAAUGUGAAAAACCGCCCUGUUGCUGAUUCUGGUUGCCUCUCCUUGCCACAGUCCUUCCUGGACUGGAGCUCAGCCAGCAGAUGCACAUUAUAUUGGAUGCUUCCUCUAAAGAGUCAGGAGGAGUAAGUGGGAAUACGGGCUGCACUCAGAAAGCUGUUGUACUGGGGAGACUGACCUGGAUUCAAAUAUCUGCUGCAAUGUAUUAAUAUCUGUAGACAAGUCACAGCACCUCUCUGUUAUGGUCCAAGACCUUUGGAUUUCAAGGAACUGAGACUCAGUCAAGAUGACUUGAAGAGGAAUGAGUCAGUCAAGGAAACAGAAUCCACAGUGCCAGAGCUCACGUGUUCAUGGGCCAGCUCAGUGCCUGGCAUGCUGAGAAUAUUUGGGAAAUGCCAGCUAUGCACUGUCACCUCAGGAGGGUCUCUUCUCAUUUCCAAAGCUGUCUUCUGCUUAGUGAAAUGCACAAAGACACUGGGCAAAUAGCCAACAUUAUGUUCCCAUUGUCUGCAGUACUCAGUACGGUAACAUGCUGCGGAGGUGUGGAGCCCAGGAGCAAUCAGCUCUACCCUUCAGCCCAGGUGUGUGUUUGGCGGGACCAUCUGGAGGAAGCCGAGAAGACAUGAGCUGAAGGCAGAGGGUGAGUCCGAGGUGGGAUCUUGGGGCAGGUGUGAGAAGUUGGGCAAAAACGGGUGAAAUCUGAAUAAAUGUCACCAUAUUCGUAUAAUUACUACAUUAAUAACCUUAGAUAAUG
Sapajus apella (tufted capuchin) is the source of this 1473-nucleotide long non-coding RNA. RefSeq lists it as uncharacterized. The record is from RefSeq and is a predicted model, not a curated record. Lineage: Eukaryota; Metazoa; Chordata; Mammalia; Primates; Cebidae. The transcript has 6 exons.